UUUUAUGGAGAGUUUGAUCCUGGCUCAGAGUGAACGCUGGCGGCGUGCCUAAUACAUGCAAGUCGAACGAUGAAGCUUCUAGCUUGCUAGAGUGCUGAUUAGUGGCGCACGGGUGAGUAACGCAUAGGUUAUGUGCCUCUUAGUUUGGGAUAGCCAUUGGAAACGAUGAUUAAUACCAGAUACUCCCUACGGGGGAAAGAUUUAUCGCUAAGAGAUCAGCCUAUGUCCUAUCAGCUUGUUGGUAAGGUAAUGGCUUACCAAGGCUAUGACGGGUAUCCGGCCUGAGAGGGUGAACGGACACACUGGAACUGAGACACGGUCCAGACUCCUACGGGAGGCAGCAGUAGGGAAUAUUGCUCAAUGGGGGAAACCCUGAAGCAGCAACGCCGCGUGGAGGAUGAAGGUUUUAGGAUUGUAAACUCCUUUUGUUAGAGAAGAUAAUGACGGUAUCUAACGAAUAAGCACCGGCUAACUCCGUGCCAGCAGCCGCGGUAAUACGGAGGGUGCAAGCGUUACUCGGAAUCACUGGGCGUAAAGAGCGCGUAGGCGGGAUAGUCAGUCAGGUGUGAAAUCCUAUGGCUUAACCAUAGAACUGCAUUUGAAACUACUAUUCUAGAGUGUGGGAGAGGUAGGUGGAAUUCUUGGUGUAGGGGUAAAAUCCGUAGAGAUCAAGAGGAAUACUCAUUGCGAAGGCGACCUGCUGGAACAUUACUGACGCUGAUUGCGCGAAAGCGUGGGGAGCAAACAGGAUUAGAUACCCUGGUAGUCCACGCCCUAAACGAUGGAUGCUAGUUGUUGGAGGGCUUAGUCUCUCCAGUAAUGCAGCUAACGCAUUAAGCAUCCCGCCUGGGGAGUACGGUCGCAAGAUUAAAACUCAAAGGAAUAGACGGGGACCCGCACAAGCGGUGGAGCAUGUGGUUUAAUUCGAAGAUACACGAAGAACCUUACCUAGGCUUGACAUUGAGAGAAUCCGCUAGAAAUAGUGGAGUGUCUGGCUUGCCAGACCUUGAAAACAGGUGCUGCACGGCUGUCGUCAGCUCGUGUCGUGAGAUGUUGGGUUAAGUCCCGCAACGAGCGCAACCCCCUUUCUUAGUUGCUAACAGGUCAUGCUGAGAACUCUAAGGAUACUGCCUCCGUAAGGAGGAGGAAGGUGGGGACGACGUCAAGUCAUCAUGGCCCUUACGCCUAGGGCUACACACGUGCUACAAUGGGGUGCACAAAGAGAAGCAAUACUGCGAAGUGGAGCCAAUCUUCAAAACAUCUCUCAGUUCGGAUUGUAGGCUGCAACUCGCCUGCAUGAAGCUGGAAUCGCUAGUAAUCGCAAAUCAGCCAUGUUGCGGUGAAUACGUUCCCGGGUCUUGUACUCACCGCCCGUCACACCAUGGGAGUUGUGUUUGCCUUAAGUCAGGAUGCUAAAUUGGCUACUGCCCACGGCACACACAGCGACUGGGGUGAAGUCGUAACAAGGUAACCGUAGGUGAACCUGCGGUUGGAUCACCUCCUUUCUAGA
RNAcentral lists this ribosomal RNA (1510 nucleotides) under Helicobacter pylori. RNAcentral describes it as "bacterial SSU rRNA". It matches the Rfam family "Bacterial small subunit ribosomal RNA". The record is from RNAcentral. Lineage: Bacteria; Pseudomonadati; Campylobacterota; Epsilonproteobacteria; Campylobacterales; Helicobacteraceae.